UGGGAUACUAGGGUGAGGCAUCGUGCUUUAGAGGAGUAUCUAUGCUAGGAUGACCAUUUUGCUGAAUUUUGUGCUGCCGCCGGGUUGCCAUGAGCCCAUGAUGGUAGUAGUAUGUCGGUGCACCACUUGUAUGCCUAUGUUUGUCAUGCUUCAUUCGUUAGAGUAUGGCAUUGUAUCGACAGUGGAUGUAUACCUAUGUAUCCUUCAUUCAUAUGUUAGAGUGUGUCGUUGUACUUGUACCGACAGUGUAUCUAUGCCUAUGUUUGCAUUUGUGUUGUUUGUAAUAAGAACGGUCAAAGUGUGAUUUG
This 308-nucleotide long non-coding RNA is filed under the name Setaria viridis. RNAcentral's name for it is "long non-coding RNA (SVIR_LNC005653)". The record is from RNAcentral. Lineage: Eukaryota; Viridiplantae; Streptophyta; Magnoliopsida; Poales; Poaceae.